CUUGAUCGACCCCAACCACAACGGCCGCUCCCCCGACCGACCCUGUCCAUACGUGGCCAACAACGCCUGCGCCUC
This is a non-coding RNA of Salinispora tropica CNB-440, 75 nucleotides long. It matches the Rfam family "ASpks TB sRNA". The record is from Rfam. NCBI's taxonomy places the organism in Bacteria, Bacillati, Actinomycetota, Actinomycetes, Micromonosporales, Micromonosporaceae.